Molecule: long non-coding RNA, 1290 nt
Organism: Poecile atricapillus (Black-capped chickadee)
Lineage: Eukaryota; Metazoa; Chordata; Aves; Passeriformes; Paridae
Exons: 4
Source: RefSeq, a predicted model, not a curated record
UUGAUGGUGUGUCUCCAAAGCACUUUGAUGCCGAGCAGAGUUGGAGCUCCAGUGACAGCCACAUGGAACUGCAAACCUGCUGGGGGCUGCCUCUUAUUGCUGACCUUCACAUGGAAAGCCUUGAGUGCUGGGAGGAUGGCAGGCAGUAUAAAAAUCCUAAAAAAGUUGAACAUUCAGCUAGAAGUGGGGAAGACACAGCUGUGGGGCUUUAAAAAAGCAUACUAAAGAAACAGACCUUUUUAAAACUUGGUCUUGUGUUGAGAUUGAGUGGGGAAUGGAACAGAUCUGAGUUUAUCAUUUUGCAGUUAAUGUGGCACUGCUGUCAGCCAAUUCCAAAUUGUAUUGGUAUUUUAAGGUGUAUUCCCUCCCUUUCCCCCAGUCUGUAUUUUGCUUUAGUAACACCUCAGAUUGUUCCAGAGCAGUGCCCACUGUUUCUUUUGUUGGGAAAAGACCAUCUGAAGACCAGCUUGGUUUCAGUCUGUCAUACCUUUGUGCCAAGGACUUUGCUAUGAACCUGCUGUUCACAGCCUGAGGAGACACUGACUCUACCUAGUCACAUUUGCAAAAUUUCAACUUUGCUUUUCUUCUUCCUUUUUUGUUUUGUUUUUUCUUUUUCUUCCUUUUAGUUUGUGGAGAGUGCUCAUUCUCAGAGUUCACCAUAAAGGACAUUUGCCUUGUCUGUCUUCUCUGCUGGCCUCAGCAUCUCCUCAGCCUUAAAUUCCCAUGGGCAGGAGAGGAAGUUGAUGUGACAGCUCUGCUGCUCAAGGAAGCACUCUGAAUCAGAACUCUGUGACUCAGGGAGCUCCAGUGUGACUAGAUCUGAUUUAGGAUGUUUUGCAGAAGCCUCUAUCUGCACAGAGGGAUCCCCAUGCCUGAUGAGUUUGGUUUCUGAGCUGCAGAGUUGAUUUUGGUGGAAAGGGCUUUCCAGCAUGCCCUGCAGUGCCCUGUGUUGCCCAAAACCACCCUGAGAGGAUGCAAGAAUCCAGAAAUGGAGAAACAUUUCUCUGUUUGUCCUAUUCCCCAAAAAGGACCAUAAAGACAAAGUCUUCAAAGUCUGGCAGUGAGAAAUGAAGCAAACCUGAGUCAGAGACCUCUAUGUGCAAUGAGAUUUAUUGAGAUAAAAGAGACCACGGAGCAGUUUGAGGUGUGCAAGCUGCAGAAAGAACAAUCCUCCUGCUUACUCCUGUGCCACUUGGAAAUUUCCCAUCUAAUCCUGCAGCUAAGUGUGGUUAUCUUUAUAUGAAAGAAGCCAGGAGCAAGCAUAUGCUACUAUUGUGAAGAGCUGGUUAU